AAGCCCAGAAGGCCACCGGAGCACACUGAUAUGAGACACUGAAGAAGCCCACCCAUGGGGUAUAAAAGAAGGACUCUCACAGCAGCAGUUAGACGACUGUCUGACCUCCACAGACAAGAUGCUCUCCUCCCCCCUGGAAACUGCCAAACUGCCAAACUGCCAUUCCUGCUCUGCCUUUGAGCCCAGACUGUUAAGAGGCCUCUCUUCGAGUCAAGAAACCGAGCUCCUUGCCGCAGCGUAUUUUGACGACCUCCGUGUGUCUCUGUCAGCAAGUGUCUCCAGGUGGCCUGCCAAGGACUGAAACCCAUCAGCUCUCUGGAAGAAGGAGAGGUUUGUUUCCUGGCACCAGCCCACUCAUAGGUUGACCACACACAUGUAGGGCUUCCCUGGCUUUCACCUGUGCUACUGAGGAUGUGCAAAGCAGCAGGGAGUUCCUUCGACGAAAAUCAAACUAACAACCUAAGGAAGUCAAGAAUCCUUGAUGCUAUCAACUAAGUUAUCUAAGAAUCCACACUUGAAUCGUGGGGAAUGACUUUUUCUGCAAGUGACAGAGGUAGAGACACUGGAGUACCCUAGGCCCAACACGCCUUGGAUGAUGGAAGCCUCCCUUGAAGGAAGUUCUGCACACGCCAGGGCUUGGGGGUAGCCCAGUGUCCUACCCAGGUCUCAACCUGCAUGCAGCCACCCUGAAAAUCGCCUCUCACUCCAGGAAAGAUCUUCAACAACAAACUAAACUCCCCUGAGGCAAAGCUCUUGGGAGGUAGAACGGAACAGCUUCCAGAAGGCAGGGGUCGCCUCAGCUUCUGUCCGGCGCCCACUAAGCGCCCUACGUUUAUUUCUUCAAGGAGCGGACCAGUGAAAUCCGAGUUAGACGCCUGGAGUUGGGAAUGGUGGUGCCAUAAAGAAGAACAAAGCUGUCUUUCCCCGAUGCCACCUCGCUGCGACUUAAGUUUCUUUGCGACGUCUUGAGCUUCAUACCUUUCGGUUCUGAAGCUGGGAGAAGAGUCUUGGAGUCUCAGAAGGUGUGGGCCAUGCGUUAAAGAACCAAGAAAGUCUUGUCCCCUAGUUCUCCUUUGCACCGAUCAAUACUGGCUCCCUCCUCCUGGCCCAGAGCGCACUCCGCAGUCUUCCUCUCCCAGUUCCCCGCGACUUUCAGGUUUGAUCGGUCCCUGCUGCCCAGAAGCUUUCGGGACCUUUCGUUGGAACAUAAAUCUCAGGGUCUCCCAGAGAGGAGCCCUAUCCCCUCAGUAGCUGUGGGCACGAAAGAGAUGAUAUCAAAGUCAGGUGAUUUGUAAAAAUUACAUAGCAAUUUGUCCAACUGACAAUUGUUUUGGUAUGCAACUUAUAAUACAUUCAAAUAGGAAUACCCUAACUUGGGCAUGAAAUAGAGCAUGUUAGAAAAAAAUAUUUUAUUUCUUUUUAAAGUAUAAAACAUGCAUAGCUCAGAACAAGUCAUAGAUUAAAAAGUCCUUAUCCCCCAACCACAUCCCCUUGCCUAAUUAACUUUUUCAUUAUUUUAUUAUGCAUCUUUCCUGUGACUUUUGUGUAUAUAUUAACAAAUGUCAAAUAAAUGUUAUUUACCUGUGACUUUUUUUAUGCUAUUCUGCACCUUGUGUCUUCCAUUCAGGAUACCCUGGAAAACUUUCCCUGUCUGUAAAUAGACAGCAGAAGAAAAACAUUUAAAAUAAGGAGACUACUAGCUUGACAAAUCCAUUG
Molecule: long non-coding RNA, 1716 nt
Organism: Myotis myotis
Lineage: Eukaryota; Metazoa; Chordata; Mammalia; Chiroptera; Vespertilionidae
Exons: 3
Source: RefSeq, a predicted model, not a curated record